RNAcentral lists this long non-coding RNA (454 nucleotides) under Vulpes vulpes (red fox). RNAcentral's name for it is "lncRNA (ENSVVUG00000010325.1)". Lineage: Eukaryota; Metazoa; Chordata; Mammalia; Carnivora; Canidae. The record is from RNAcentral.
AAAGUUAGUAGUGAAUUGGGUCUCUAAGUCCUCUUUUGCUUCCUCUUUUCAGCAACUCAUUGUCAUGAAGAACAAAAGACUCUCUUCAUCAAAGUUGAACUUUUGUCUUCAAAAGGGUGGAUUAUGUGGAAGACCUUCGGAGUGCUACUUUCUGGUUUGAGUUAUAAAUACCAUUUUUAAUGAAUGGAAAAUUAGAUAGGUCUACCGAUAACAGCAUCCUGGGCAAAUCUGCCUCAACCCUGUCCUCUGAGAUCAUCAGCAAGAAGUGUGUUUACCAGGAUUCCAGUUCUGCAAAGGAGGCUCCUCAAAAGAAGGAAGCAUCCACCCACCUGAGAGACUCUGUGUCAGAGAGAACCCAGAGCUUGGACAGCAGCAUACUCGCUUCUCUCCAUGUCACCUUGUGCUCUAAGGUUUGGGAGCCAUUGUGAGGAUGACAUCCUGUUGCACCUUCCAG